UUCUAGCUCCUCUUCUCAUUAGUGAUGUAAUUCCCUCAGGAAUCUCCUCAUAAAGAAAGACAUCUGUUUCCAUUUUCUUCUUAGAGGAACAGGAUCUCUAUACAUCAUUGAAUAGAUUAGUGUCAUGAGUGUUAGCACUUUCCAUGAAGCACAAUCCCAAAGACCAUGAAAAAUUGAGAUCCGCAGAGGAGAGGAUGGAAAGUGUUUCCCCCACACCACAGGGUGUUUUACUGCUGCUGCUGCUGUUUAAGGCUACUCUACCACUUGCAAGCUGCUGUUUCUGACCUUCUGGAGUUUGGAGGAAGGAAGAAAAGAAAAAGAAGAAAAGAAAGUUUUUAUUUUACUGUUGCAUCUUUUCAACAAAGUUGACUCUCUCCCUACAAAGGAAAGUUUGUAUCAGCUACUGAGAAGACUUGGACUGGAACUUACUUCACCAGAUCUCAUGGUUCUUGGGCCUUCAGACUCAGGUUGGAACUAUGCUAUCAGCUUUCCUGGAUCUCCAGCUUGCUGACUACACAAUCUAGGACUUCUCAGCCUUUGUAAUUGUGAGGAACAAAUUGUUCUACAGAAAAUGAAGGAAACUCCAAAUGUUCAAGAGACUGGGGAUGAUAUAUGAAAGCUUUCACCAUUAGGAUAAAAAAGAGCAAGAAUAGCUCACAUACCAUGUGAACCACUUUUGGGAAUCAGAUGUGUACAUUCCAAAGUAAAAUGACUUCAGUGUAUAUAUACAAGGAUGAUAAAUGUCCUGCUGAGAACAGCGGCAAAACAACAAGAAGAACCACCGUAAAGCUCCUGCACAUACUUAUAUACUGAAUAGGACCAUGAAAAAGUGCUUAAGCUCAAACAGAAUGUUAAGAUAGAACAAAAUUCCAUUUUGUGGGAGACUAUCCACACAGUCACAAUGUGGGCUGGACUUAUCUAAUGAUCUGGAGCUCUGAGGAAUACUUCUAUGAUUAUGUGAAGAAGCCUGGGCUAGCCUGCUGAAGGAUGAAGGACCAUGUAGAAAGCAGCCUCAGCUAUUCCAGUUGAGUCACCAGACGUGUGAAUGAGAUGAUCCUAUACAUCAGCCUCAGCUUAGUUGCCUUUGCCAGAAUUUCUCAACCAAACCUAAGUAUUAUGAAAAGUAAUAAUUAUUUGUUAAAUUUGGCCAAUACAUAGUACAUCUUGGGGUGGAUUGUUACCAGUUAGCCAACACUAAGUGGUAUACCAUGUCAUGCUAUACUUAUUUCUUUUCCUUAGGAAAUUGACAAAGUGUUUUACUGAUGUUAACUUGGAAUGCAUUUAAAGACAAAAAAAGGAAAACCUUAAUCCAACAUUGACAUUUCAUUCCUGCAUCUUUAAUGGUUUGAUCAGAAUAAUCAGUGACUCAUAAUUAUAAUGGAUGCAUAAGUGGGCACAUUUUGAUAUUAAAAAAGUGAGGUAAUAUACACAUUACUAAAUAUGAUAAUGCUAGUGAUUUUCCUACUCAACUUAUGUUUAAGGACAUGUCACCAAUAGUGGUAUUCAACUUCAUUUGAAAUUCAAAACAUUAAAGUUAAUUUUUAAACAUUUUUAUUGAGUUGAAGCUAGAGAGUUGAAGAAAAAAUAAGAAAAUUAAGAUUUCACUUCAUAUACAUGUAAUGGAUGUAUUUUGUGGUAAUGCAGUUUUAGUGUUUAGACCACUAUGAAACUAGUAAGAUAGUGGUUUUAAGUGUUGAUCUAGUUAUUUUGAACCUAUAGCUUUGAAAAUGCAUGAAGCUCAUUUUAACAUAAAAUAUAUGGUUUUAAGAUGAAUUCUUCCUCAUAUUGCAUUCUUUCCUCCCUCUACCAGUUUCCUCUCUAUAGGUAUUUGUAUAUAUAUUGACUCUUAGACAAAUUGAGUAGAUAUUAUAUCUGAGUCAACAAAUGUGUAUAUAGACACAUGAACACUAAGAAAGGGCAUUAACAUUUCUAAAAUACGUCAGAUGUACUGACAUAA
This 1957-nucleotide long non-coding RNA is filed under the name Homo sapiens (human). RNAcentral describes it as "HSALNT0076705". The record is from RNAcentral. Lineage: Eukaryota; Metazoa; Chordata; Mammalia; Primates; Hominidae.